UUAGUUAAAGCCAAAAAGAGGCAUAUCACUGUUAAUGAUAUCAUUGAAAAUUAAUUCUAACUAAA
Molecule: transfer RNA, 65 nt
Filed under: Scarites buparius
Lineage: Eukaryota; Metazoa; Arthropoda; Insecta; Coleoptera; Carabidae
Description: tRNA-Asn
Source: RNAcentral